CAAGUCGAACGCGAAAGUUCCCUUCGGGGAACAAGUAGAGUGGCGCACGGGUGAGUAACACGUAGGUAAUCUACCUUUGGAUUGGGAAUAACACCGAGAAAUCGGUGCUAAUACCGAAUAAUGCAGCGGCACCUAAUGGUGACAGUUGUUAAAGCGGGGGAUCGCAAGACCUCGCGUCUAAAGAGGAGCCUGCGGCGGAUUAGCUAGUUGGUAAGGUAACGGCUUACCAAGGCGAUGAUCCGUAGCCGGCCUGAGAGGGCGGUCGGCCACACUGACACUGACAUACGGGUCAGACUCCUACGGGAGGCAGCAGUCGGGAAUUUUGGGCAAUGGGCGAAAGCCUGACCCAGCAACGCCGCGUGAAGGAUGAAAUCCCUCGGGAUGUAAACUUCGCAAGAACGGGAAGAAUAAGUCGGUGCUAACACCAUCGGCGAUGACGGUACUGUUUGUAAGCUCCGGCUAACUCCGUGCCAGCAGCCGCGGUAAUACGGGGGGAGCAAGCGUUGUUCGGAUUUACUGGGCGUAAAGGGCGCGUAGGCGGCCACCGCAAGUCGACUGUGAAAUCUCCGGGCUUAACUCGGAAAGGUCAGCCGAUACUGCGGGGCUAGAGUGCAGAAGGGGCAACUGGAAUUCUCGGUGUAGCGGUGAAAUGCGUANAUAUCGAGAGGAACACCUGCGGCGAAGGCGGGUUGCUGGGCUGACACUGACGCUGAUGUGCGAAAGCUAGGGGAGCGAACGGGAUUAGAUACCCCGGUAGUCCUAGCCUUAAACGAUGAAUGCUUGGUGUCUGGGGUUUUAUA
Molecule: ribosomal RNA, 800 nt
Filed under: uncultured Actinomycetes bacterium
Lineage: Bacteria; Bacillati; Actinomycetota; Actinomycetes
Description: bacterial SSU rRNA
Rfam family: Bacterial small subunit ribosomal RNA
Source: RNAcentral